AUUGAACGCUGGCGGCAGGCCUAACACAUGCAAGUAGGACGAGUUGCGAACGGGUGAGCAACGCGUGGUAACCUGACUAUUAGAGGGGGAUAACUAUUGGAAACGAUAGCUAAUACCGUAUAGCACCUGAUGGACCUGCGUUGUAUUAGCUAGUAGGUAGGGGAACGGCCUACCUAGGCGACGAUACAUAGACGACCGCAGAGGGUGACCAGCCACACUGGAACUGGGACACGGACCAGACGCCUACGGGAGGCAGCAGUGGGGAAUAUUGCACAAUGGGCGCAAGCCUGAUGCAGCCAGGCCGCGUGUAUGAAGAAGGCCUUCGGGUUGUAAAGUACUUUCAGCGGGGAGGCGUUACCCGCAGAAGAAGCACCGGCUAACUCCGUGCCAGCAGCCGCGGUAAUUC
Molecule: ribosomal RNA, 406 nt
Filed under: uncultured bacterium
Lineage: Bacteria
Description: partial 16S ribosomal RNA
Rfam family: Bacterial small subunit ribosomal RNA
Source: RNAcentral